UGGUGUCUUUAGCUUUUAUCAUUGAAGC
Molecule: non-coding RNA, 28 nt
Filed under: Rattus norvegicus (Norway rat)
Lineage: Eukaryota; Metazoa; Chordata; Mammalia; Rodentia; Muridae
Source: RNAcentral